CAAAAGUUUGGUCCUGGCUUUCUUAUUAGCUGUAGCUAGACUUACACAUGCAAGUAUCCGCGAUCCUGUGAGAUAUGCCCCCAUAAUCCCGCCCGGAAAUGGGGAGCGGGUAUCAGGCUCAACAAAUUAGCCCAUAACACCUUGCCUUUGCCACACCCCCACGGGAACUCAGCAGUGAUAAAUAUUAGGCCAUAAGUGAAAACUCGACCUACUCAAGCUCAGACGGGCCGGUCAAGUUCGUGCCAGCCACCGCGGUUAAACGAACAGGCCCAAGUUAAUAAGACUACGGCGUAAAGGGUGGUUAGAAAAUAAUCCCUACUAAAGCCAAAUACUCUCAUGGCUGUCGCACGCUCUCGAGAAUUAGAAGCCCAACAUUACGAAGGUGGCUUUAACCCCUUUUGAAUCCACGGAAGCCAGGGUACAAACUGGGAUUAGAUACCCCACUAUGCCUGGCUGUAAACUUUGACAGCUAUCACUAACUGCUGUCCGCCUGAGAACUACGAACGAAAGUUUAAAACUCAAAGGACUUGGCGGUGCUUUACAUCCCCCUAGAGGAGCCUGUUCUGGAACCGAUGAUCCCCGUUAAACCUCACCUUCUCUUGCUCUAUUUCAGCCUAUAUACCGCCGUCUCCAGCUUACCCUGUCAAGGACACAAAGUAUAGCACAAUUGGCUAAUCCCCCAAUACGACAGGUCGAGGUGUAGCUUAUGAGAAGGGAAAAAAUGGGCUACAUUCCCUAGCAUAGGGAACACGGACUAGCCCUUGAACAGGGCUACAAAGGUGGAUUUAGCAGUAAGCUGAAAAUAGAGUGUUCAGCUGAAGUCGGGCCCUAAAGCGCGUACACACCGCCCGU
Molecule: ribosomal RNA, 852 nt
Filed under: Pholidichthys leucotaenia
Lineage: Eukaryota; Metazoa; Chordata; Actinopteri; Cichliformes; Pholidichthyidae
Description: partial small subunit ribosomal RNA
Rfam family: Bacterial small subunit ribosomal RNA
Source: RNAcentral